GCCUUCUUAGCUCAGUUGGUAGAGCGCGGGUGAGUUUAAACCCUUUCAAGCUUCCCCAUUGAUCUUAUACUGACAUUCAUGACAGCACUAGUACGACUGCUAUGCCGAGGUCGCCAGUUCAACUCUGUCAGGAGGCA
RNAcentral lists this transfer RNA (137 nucleotides) under Zymoseptoria tritici IPO323. RNAcentral describes it as "Zymoseptoria tritici tRNA-Undet for anticodon ???". It matches the Rfam family "tRNA". From Rfam's summary of the family: Transfer RNA (tRNA) molecules are approximately 80 nucleotides in length. Their secondary structure includes four short double-helical elements and three loops (D, anti-codon, and T loops). The record is from Rfam by way of RNAcentral. Lineage: Eukaryota; Fungi; Ascomycota; Dothideomycetes; Mycosphaerellales; Mycosphaerellaceae.